UUUCUUCUUCUUUUCCCACUCUCUUAUCUUCAGUGCGUCCAAUUCUCGAAAAUGGAAUAGCUAUUUUCUACUGGGUAUUGUUUUCCCCUCUUCUUUUGAUGAAAAAUUUGUAAAUUUAAUAUUAGUUUUUGUGAUUUGUCACUGAAUUUUUACAGAUAUGUCGGCUUCCUUCUCCAAAAUAUACAAACAUACAUACAUGCGCCCCCCCCCCCCCCCCCCCCUUUAUUCAUUAGCAAAUAGUACCAAUUAUUUUUCUCCUCUCCAUUUCCAUUUUUAGGGAUUCAGUUCCACUGCUUUGUUGAGUCAAUUUGCUGAUUUCUGACUUGUGAAUUCCUUGUACGAUUCUUGGUAUAUGAUUUUUAUUUUAUUGCGCGUAGAAAUUUGAGGUUGUUGGAAUUUCUACUUGGUGUUGUUUUUUCCUCUUAUUUUGAUGGAAAAUGUGUUAAUUUAAUAAUAGAUUUGGUGAUUUGUUACUGAAUUUUUACCCGUAUGUCAAUAAAUUUGAUCUGUUUCACUCUUGCAUGCUCGAAAACAGCAAAUAGACAGUCGCGGUUGGUGAAUGCCAAUCCAAAUUUUUGUAGCACUGAAACCAUUUUAGUGAGAAAGACCUUCCAUCAUUGUCGUUCUGAUGGGUUUAAAUUGGCUUUGCUUCAUCAACUAAUUAAUUCUUUGUUUUAGUUUUUUGAAUGUUAUACUAUGUGCGUAACAAAUAUUUGGAACAAAAAAUGUCCACAAACGAAGAUAUUGCGGCGCGUAAAGCUCAAGAGAUUAAGGAACAACGACGAGCUGAUAGAAAUUUGAGACGCCGCACCAGAUAUGCACUAAUGUCACCUGAGAGAAAACAAUCCUUUUUGUCACAAUUGCGAGCUAAAAGAGCUGAAUUAAAAAAGCAAAGACUUAGUUAUCAUUCAACUAAUACAUUAUCCUCGACGGAAGUUGCUACCCAAACUCAAAGACAGCCUGGUCUUAUAAUUGUUGAUUCUUUGUUAACUUCUGAAGAAGGUAAUGCUUCUCGAACUACAAAUGUGCCAAAUACUGUCGAUAAAGAGAAUAAUAUGAUUAGUUGCCUCUCCGUCGUUGAAGUUGGAUCAGCAUCAGGUAGCGGUCCGUCUUGCAUUAAUGCAACAAAUUUACCAACUCCAGCAGCUACUGCAAAUAGACCAAAUACUGUCGAUAAAGAGAAUAAUAUGAUUAGUUGCGUCUCCGUCUUUGAAGUUGUUGUUGCAAUAUUAGGAUCAACAUCAGGUAGCGAUCCGUCCAGCAUUAAUGCAACAAAUUUACCAACCCCAACGGCUACUGCAAAUAGAGAUCUCCUGCAAGAUGCCAAACAACAUCCCAGUAACAGCUAUUUUCCCCUGAAAGAUGUGGAAGACAAUCAGUUGGGAAUCUUUGACAGACCUCUUCCUUGCUUUGGUUGUCGAAUAGGAUGGUUUUCAUAUGAGAAGAGGCAUUCAAAUAUUCCAGCUCCAUGUUAUUAUUGGACAGUGCCUUUAUCCAAGGUGCUUCCAGCCGGUUCUCUUGCAGGUAGGUCUCUAAUAAUACUGAAACAGAUGUGCCCAUCGAAGUUCAAGUUGUCGCCUCAUACAAUGAUUUUCUCCUCUUGCACUUCUUCGACAACUGUAGAAAUUUUUGUGUUUAGAAUCCCAUUACUGGAAUGAGACAAUUAAUACGAUUUCCUAAGACGUAUAUUUAGGUUAAGUCAUAUAUUUUAUAAUUAAUCUCUCUCCAAGAUAUUUCCAGUAUCAGUUUACUCAUAACCAUCUGUAAAACAAAAAAAGGUAAAAGAUUGUCUUCAAAUGUGUGCCCUUUUUCUGAUUUUUCCAGUUUAGCUAAACUCUUCAAGAUAUGAAUUAGUAUGAAAAAUCAACAAAAUAGUAAAGGAAAUGUAAAGUACAAAAGAAUACAUAUAAAAAUUCAGGUACUGAAUUUUCCAAGAUAGCAACUUUUUUAUGAAAGGUUUGACUGUUUGAGGUUUUAUUUACUGACUGUUAUCUCCAACUAAUACGUUUCCCACUGCUUUAAUGAGAGGCGUAUCUAGCUUAUAAGUUUGGGGUUCAAUUGAACCCCAAACUUUUGACGCGAAGCCUAAAUUUAUGUGUAAAAAAUUAUUAAAAUUGCAAUAAAUAGUAGAUAUAAACCUCUAACUUUAAGAAUAUUGAACCCAUAAAAUUUAAAUUCUGGAUUCGCCUCUGGCUUUAAUUCCUUUCACAGUCUGCCAUCAGGUAGCUGCCGGAAGACAAUCGGACAUUGAAAUGUCGGCCAUGCUAAAGGAACAGUUGAUAAGGUCUUCUCUUUGAUCAAGAUAUCUGCUCAAUCGGAAAUUAUUGUCAUGAUGUUGAAACACACGGAACAUUUUUAUUUGUCAGGUCAACAAAACAUGGCGAUAUCUACUAGAAAUUCAGAGAGUUUUGAAGCAUGAACUUGAAAAUCUUAAUCCCGGCGAACCCACUUUUUGUGGCCAACAUGUAAAUUCUGCCUGAGAUUGGCUAUGGAAAGCUAAAGAUUUCACAGUAGAAGGUUACAACAUCAUAUGAUCGAACUAAUUUUGAAGCUGCGUAUCACUUAGCUCAACUUCCUUAUCCUUUAUACAGGGCAUCUGAAGACUUGAUAUAUGCAUAUUGUGGCAUAUACUGUUUUGAUUCUUGCAUUUGGUUUUGUGAACUUCUCAACAAAUAUAUGAGAAGAAGACUGUAUAUAUUAUAAACAAUCUUAUCUUAAGAAUUGAAGAUCCUGAA
This is an RNA transcript of Lycium barbarum (goji berry), 2735 nucleotides long. RefSeq lists it as uncharacterized. The transcript is spliced from 8 exons. The record is from RefSeq and is a predicted model, not a curated record. Lineage: Eukaryota; Viridiplantae; Streptophyta; Magnoliopsida; Solanales; Solanaceae.